AUUCUUUUAUUGGUAAAAUAACUGUANGGGUGAGGCCUUUCCAUUGCACUGCGGUUGGGCUGACCCCUGCGAUUAUCCCUAAUGUGGAUAACUCGGGCGCGUAAUUUUUGGUAGUCGGGACUGCGUACGCGCUGUCCCGG
Agrilus planipennis (emerald ash borer) is the source of this 140-nucleotide small nuclear RNA. RefSeq annotates it as U1 spliceosomal RNA. The transcript has a single exon. The record is from RefSeq and is a predicted model, not a curated record. Lineage: Eukaryota; Metazoa; Arthropoda; Insecta; Coleoptera; Buprestidae.